AACCGGUAACCACAUUUUAUACACGGUUAUUAUAUAUUAAAUCCUAAAGAAAGACGGAAAGUAAAAAACAAUACUUAUCUUUGGUCGAGGUUAAAAGAAACAGUUGGGACGUUGUGAGGCAAUCACAUCAGGUCAAUAUGAGAUAAUACUAUGGUUCCUUUGUUAAUAUACUGUAUUUCUCUUUUUGGUGAUAAUUUAUAUGAUGCAUAGCCAAUUAGUUAACUUGUUAAUUUGUGCACAAUUUCUUGUGAUUUUAUUGUUAUACGAACAAUAUGGGUCUGAUUCAUUGUUGAAUAAUUUGGUGUCUCUUAUCACUGUGAGCAACAUUUGACAAAUCCCGUGGCUACCUAUUGAAUCAUAAUUACCCAUCCUUGUUUCACUUGUAUCAUCCUUAGGGACAUCUAAUAGAUAUCUUAAUAUUAUUACUAUUUGAUAUGGAUAUAUGUUCUGUUUUCUCUUAUUGAGGAUUUGCAGUUCUCUUCAUAUUAUUACUAUGUGUAUAUUAGUAUUUGUAACUAGAAAAUGUUUACAGGCAUACAAACAUGAAACCAUUUACAAACAUGUUUUCUGGUUGAUAUGGAUCUGCUUGGAAACAUUUCCUUCAUCUUUUUGGUAGAUUUGAUUGUCUAUUUUUAUGACCUGGUGUUUGGCAGCCUACAGAAAUUCAUGCCCACAACGUGUUUGACAAAAGUCCAAAGUGAGAAUGGGGUGUCAAUGAACUUACUCUAUUAUCUUUCAAAAGACUUGAGAGACAUCAAGCACCAUCUUUGUUUGGCUGUACUGACAAGAAUGAGUAAUUUGUUGAAAAAAUACAUACAUAAAAAUAUGUAUCUACAAAUUUUUGGAUGUUGACUUACAUGUUGAGAUUGUUAAUAACUUGGAUAGUUUCUGACACUUGCACUCAUUUGUAUUUCACUUUGAGUACCAAUGUCGGUUCUUACGGUAGUUUUCCUUGGUCGGGAAUUAAGUUUAAUGAAUUCACAAGAUCCAACCUAAAUGACACCAUAUGGUCACGUGGCCAUUUAAGAAGUUGGGUGCAUACAGACUGAUCCACUAUACACAUCCAUUAUAUAUGUACCAUUAACCAUGUGAUGUUGGAUAAAAUGUCUUAUCUUAAUAUGGGUGUUCUAAGGUCAUCUGCUGUUGUCUUUUGUGCCAGAUUUUAAUCUAAUUUUUAAUUAUAAAACACUUUCUACUUGUCUUGUUAGGUAAGUUCAGUAGCUCACCCAUGUUUGAUAACAAUUCAUAUCUUGUUCGUUGGUAGUAAAAUUUUGAAGCAUGUUUAUUACUUCAUUGUCUAUUAGAUUAGUUCACUCUACCUUGAUCCUUGUACCACACUUUACACUUUGUACACAUGUUAUUGAUUGGUAAGUUCAGUUUAUCAAUUUGGGAUGCCAAUGAUCAGUUGGCUAAUACUGUGAUUUUAAAAAUACUUUACUACUUAAAAUGCUUAACGGUUUGGUGUUUGUAAAUGAUAAAACGUUGUAGAAGGGAUGGAAACCACCAAGCGACUUGGGAGGCUUUUUUGGGGGAAGACUCUGAGUACAGUGAUGAUGGUCCCUUGAAGGAAGACGACGGUAAAGCGGUAAAACUAACUCCUGCUCGGAUUGUGCAAAUACGAAGAUGGAUACUUUUUCGACGUGACAUUGAGGGUGUUGCCAACUAUUAUGCCUACUAUUCUGAUCACGUUCUACCUAGAUCUGUGGGUGAUGAGAUGGAUGAAGUUGAGGGGCAAAUAAAGUUUAUAGGCUGGUUACGUAAUUAGUUGUUGGAAGAAGAUAAAUGCAGAAUUGUGGCAAUAUGUCAAAGGUCCUACUGGAGCUAAAGAAUAUUCAAGUUACCGUGUAAAUGGGUUUUUCUUUUCUCCUUUCUCACAAGACAGUAGUCGUGUUAUUCAAGAUAACAGCGUUUGUAUGGAGGCAGUCACCACAUACAGGAGUAAAAAAAAGAGAAAAGAUCCCAGUUGAUUAAAUGACCAGGUGGUAUGGGAUUAUCAAGCAAAUAUUGGAGGUUGCAAUAUAAAUUUUGAAGAUCAAACUUUGUUUACCUUGUUAGGUAGAGUUUUAUGUUUUAAUUUAUAACAAUUAUAGUUUUCAUUGUUUAGUGUUUUAAGAAUGUGUUGAGGAUAUUAGUUGAUGUUGAAACAAAUUUCUUUUUAUUAAUUUAAUUUCUAUUGUUUUUU
This is a long non-coding RNA of Papaver somniferum (opium poppy), 2182 nucleotides long. RefSeq lists it as uncharacterized. The transcript is spliced from 4 exons. Lineage: Eukaryota; Viridiplantae; Streptophyta; Magnoliopsida; Ranunculales; Papaveraceae. The record is from RefSeq and is a predicted model, not a curated record.